GCUUGAAGUUGAGCUGGCCUUGACUCUCAGGGGAAUCUCUGCCACUCAAUGCCUCUCCCUACUGGUGCCAGGUGAAGCUCUAGUAGUAAUAAAACUUGACUCUGACAUACCUUUUUCUAAACACAACUCAGAGUCUGAAAAGUUUCUCUUCCACCGUAAUUUGGUGCCGUGACUCAGAUGACAACGCUCGAUGACGGUCCGGAGCGGUCCAUCUCUCAGUGACCCUCAAGUGCAACCACAGAGCCUCAGCAGGUCCAAAAUCCAGGGCCAUGGGAGAGCAUGGAUCCUACCCAACCUCAAAAGUUGCUCUCGACUAACCAGCAGUGGAAGCCCAUAGAGAAGCUGCAGAAGGUGAGGAAACCGACCGCCUGACCGAGGGGACCGAGCCGCCGAUCCUGCAUCCCCAGGAAUCCAGAGGAAUCGCCUCUGCACAACCUCGUCUUCUGAACCGGUGCACAGAGAUACUUCUGCUGCAUUCUCAGAGCAUACCCGCAUCCGGGGGCCUCCUCGGACCGGGGGUCUCCCACCCCACCGGAGGGACCGCCUAGUGGGAUGACGACCGGACAGGUGGCAUCCAGGCCUAAACCCAGCACUCCCCGUUUGGCAGCCCGGUCUUCUCCAGAAAGUCGCCCGGCGACUUGGUGGCCAUCCAGAACAACCGCCGCC
Tachyglossus aculeatus (Australian echidna) is the source of this 666-nucleotide long non-coding RNA. RefSeq lists it as uncharacterized. The transcript is spliced from 4 exons. Lineage: Eukaryota; Metazoa; Chordata; Mammalia; Monotremata; Tachyglossidae. The record is from RefSeq and is a predicted model, not a curated record.